GCACUACCUCGUCUCGGUGCCUGGCUGCCGCCGCGCGUUUCGGAUGCUGGGGGCUGGGAGCCGCUCCAAGUGUGACCCGGUUUCGAGGCCUGGCUGCGCGCGCGCGCGCCAUGGAGGCCGGGUGCUGGGUGCUCGGCGGCGAAUUUGAGGACUCGGUGUUCGAGCAGAGGCCCGAGCGGCGGCCCGAGCCGCCCGCGCCCUACGGCGCCAAGCUGUGCGAGCCCCAGUGGUUUUAUGGAGAGACGGGAAGUAGUGAGGAUACUGAAGUUCUCACUCUCAAGAAAUUCAGAGGGGACCUGGCCUACCGACGACAGGAAUACGAGGCAACGGUCAUCUCUACACUGGAUCCCCAUCCUCCUUAUGCCUUCCCUUCUUCCUUUAAUAAUUGUCAGAAAGCGCUGCGGGAAUACUCCAGGAUCUCUGAACAGUUGCCGUCUACCAAUGUUGCCAUGAAAAGGGAUGUCCAAGAAGGCCAGGCCCGGUGUCUGGCUCAGCUGGGGAGACACAAGGAAGCACUGGAGAUUGCAGCAGACUUGGAAAAUAAAGCAACCAACACGGACCAUCUAACCACGGUGCUCUACCUCCACUUGGCUAUUUUUUCAAGUUUUCAGAACUUGGAGAAGACAAUUCUGUGCUUGCAAAAACUGAUUUCCCUUCAUCCUCUGAACCCUUGGAGCUGGUGGAAAUUGGCAGAGGCAUACCUGAGUCCAGGGCCAGGCCUACUGGCAUUGUGUACGUCAUCUCGGGGACAGACGAGUGUCACCUCAAGUAACCAAGCUAUCAGUUCCUCGGGUGUGUGCUCUGGAACAGGCCGCCUUCUGUGUUUCCCAGCAGCCUUGCCUGAGAGUGCAGUGCUUUCCCUGGAGGCAAGUGGUUGUAACAUCCAGAAGGCUGAGGAGGCUCCACAGAAGAUGCAGAACUGUCUGGCAGAAUGGAGAGAAGCUGCAGGGCUGGAGGCUCGGAUGAAGGCAUGUGCCUCUCUGGUUCGCGCCAGGCUUCUGCUUCAGCUCACCCAGUCUCAGCAAACCUCAUUCGCUUUGGAGAGGAACUUGAGGACUCAGCAGGAAGUUGCGGAGAGAGUGAAGGAGCUCAACUUCCCUGACGGUGCUGUGCUAUUGAUGGAGGAGGCUAUGGGGGAAGACAUUGUCCCAGAGAAAAUCAAAGAUGAAGUGCAUUCAGAGGUGAAGUGUCUUGGCCCCGCAGCCCUGACCGCCUUGGUGAUCGCAUCCUCCGAAGAAUUUGAAGACAAGUGGUUCAGAAGGAUCAAAGACCACUUCUGUUCCUUGGAAAAUCAGUUCCACGUGGAGCUACAGAUCACAGCUUAGAGAAGCACGUCGGGACCCGAACGUCUUGCGCUGUGUUGUCCUGGUUUACUUUAGGCAGAGCAGAAGCCCCGGACCAUCUCUUUUGUUUGCCCUUCAUAGUGGAUCCCAGCUUCCCCACUGCCGCCUUCCUAGAGUGCCAGUCUCUGGAAAAGACCACCUGAGGUACAGUGGGGUUGAAGCCAGCCCCUGCAGAGUCAGGCCACCAGUGUCAAAGAUGUUUCCAACAUCUGUGCAGUAUGACAUUUUUAUAAAAGCUGUGCUUCGCUUUGGGGAAACUGUGGGGUCAUCACAGCUGCAGCAAAUGAAUACAAGCUCGUAUUUCCAGAAAGAUGGCUUUAAAUGGGAGCCUUCUCCAAAAAUUUAAUCUAUGAAAGGUUUCUAUUUACCCCCAGCAGCUUUCCAGGGCCUCGGGGGUUGAUGGGAAGCAAGGAAACCAGCUGAGAAACAAAGGAGGACACAAAACCUCAGCAAACUCCGCCGCUGCGGGGCUGCGCACUCCUCAAAUCAGGGCCAGCCUUGCACGAAUGUGGUUGCUCUCUCCCUUCCUGCUUCUGUCUUCUGGCUAAAUCAGACCUGGGUUAGAGUUUUGGACCCAGCAAAGCUAAUAGGAAUGUCCUGAGUGAGCCGACAGACAGUCCAGUGAAUGGCACCUCAGUUCCAUCGUCCCAUAUUGUGGUCACUUGGAGACUUCUGCAGGAGCUGGGGACCCAGGUUGGAGGGAGGAUGAGUGAAUUGGAGGAAUGGGGUGGGUAGAAGAUACUCAUGUAUUUCCUUUAUUUUUUCUUCCUCCUUGGUACUGGGAGACUUCAUCUUCUGAAGCUUUGGUGGUAUUGGAGCUGCCCCUCUUCCUUCCGGGAGAGCUGGCCUCUCCUGAAGUGUUGGCAUCUGGUCCAGAGACUCAAACUAUUAGAGGAGUCAGAGAGAGUUGUCUGACUCCAUCUGGGCCAGAGUCUUGACUGAGGAUUUGGAAACAAAAUACUCUUCUGAACCAACCAACCUCAAACGAUGGGAGCUGGCACUGUGCUCUUCAAAGCAAAAAGCAAGAAGAGUAGGUCUGCGGAGAGAAAAACACAGAGAUGCCCCCAAAGCACAGAGAUCUCUCUGGACUCUAGGGCCUUUCUCGUGCCUCCAUGGAAACCCCAAGGAGCAGCAGGGAGAAGAACGUCCCCCACCCCCACCCGUGGUAUCCAUGUUCUGAUACCCAGGACCUACAAAUACAUUAGGUUAUGUGGCAAAGGGGAGGGAGGGCUGCCAGUCAGCUGAAGUCGGGAAGUUUGUCUGGAAGGAUCUGGGCAGACCCAAGGAAAUCACCAGCGUCUUUAAAACUGCAAGGUGGAGGCACGUGGAAUGUGCUGAAUCCAGAGAGAUGCUGUAUGUUGUCUACCUUCCAAGAUGGGGUCAGAGGUUACCAGCCAAGAACUUGAGAUGCCAUGUGACCAGCUGCCUCAUGCUUCCACUGUCAGGCUGUCCCCAUUAGGAUGGACUGUGCUCUCAAACUACACUCUCGAGGAGGAAGCCGAGAAAGUGACUGACAGUUUCUCCAUGCCCAACAACGUCUUGGACCACGGCCAGAAAGCAUUUGAAGAAGCUGCCUUGGCACUUGGGCGACAGGCCAGCAGGGCAAGCUGUGAAGCCAUGCGAAGGGGACAUCAUGGAAGAGGAGGCAGAAAGAAUGUAAGAGCCAGAGGAUAGGGUGGAGUGUUGUGGAAUGCUGUCUUGCGGACAUGGCAUGACCAGUUUCACCCUCAAACUCACCGUAGCUGU
This is an RNA transcript of Peromyscus californicus insignis, 3089 nucleotides long. It is a transcript of the gene named chromosome unknown C8orf76 homolog, with no coding region annotated. Lineage: Eukaryota; Metazoa; Chordata; Mammalia; Rodentia; Cricetidae. The record is from RefSeq and is a predicted model, not a curated record. The transcript is spliced from 10 exons.